Molecule: long non-coding RNA, 382 nt
Filed under: Homo sapiens (human)
Lineage: Eukaryota; Metazoa; Chordata; Mammalia; Primates; Hominidae
Description: non-protein coding CD81-AS1:5
Source: RNAcentral
AGUCCGGAAUCCGCGGCCAGGGACCCGCGCAGGCCCCUCCUUAGCUGAGGGGCGGCCGGGUACUCGGGUCCCGACCCGCGACCACCGCACCCAUCACCACCACAGCGGGAACUGCCCGGCGGCCCCCAGAAGCCCCGGCCCGGCCGCAGAGGUGGGCCCCCGAGCACAGAGGCCCCGAAACUCGGCUCGCAGCCCUCAGCCCCAAUGUCGGGGGGCGCGGUGGCCCCGGGCGACCCCCCACCCCGCUCCUGGAGCCCACAGGUGGCCCCACAACUUCGCGGCCCGCGCUGCGCCCGCGGGGCCUAGCACGCUGCCGCGGGACCUGCCCAACGUGGAGUGUGUGCCUGCCCCCUCCCGCCCCGGCCCCCGGCGCAGCCCUUAC